Molecule: ribosomal RNA, 515 nt
Filed under: uncultured archaeon
Lineage: Archaea
Description: bacterial SSU rRNA
Rfam family: Archaeal small subunit ribosomal RNA
Source: RNAcentral
AACCUUUACACUGCACGACAGUGCGAUAGGGGGACUCCGAGUGCGAGGGCAUACAGUCCUCGCUUUUCUGUACCGUAAGGUGGUACAGGAAUAAGGGCUGGGCAAGACCGGUGCCAGCCGCCGCGGUAAUACCGGCAGCCCGAGUGAUGGCCGAUAUUAUUGGGCCUAAAGCGUCCGUAGCCGGCCAGACAAGUCCGUUGGGAAAUCGGCGUGCCUAACACGUCGGCGUCCAGCGGAAACUGUCUGGCUUGGGGCCGGAAGACUCGAGGGGUACGUCCGGGGUAGGAGUGAAAUCCCGUAAUCCUGGACGGACCGCCGAUGGCGAAAGCACCUCGAGAGGACGGACCCGACGGUGAGGGACGAAAGCUAGGGUCUCGAACCGGAUUAGAUACCCGGGUAGUCCUAGCCGUAAACAAUGCUCGCUAGGUGUGGCGCAGGCUACGAGCCUGCGCUGUGCCGUAGGGAAGCCGUGAAGCGAGCCGCCUGGGAAGUACGUCCGCAAGGAUGAAACUUAA